Molecule: transfer RNA, 86 nt
Filed under: Alteraurantiacibacter aestuarii
Lineage: Bacteria; Pseudomonadati; Pseudomonadota; Alphaproteobacteria; Sphingomonadales; Erythrobacteraceae
Description: Altererythrobacter aestuarii tRNA-Leu
Rfam family: tRNA
About the family: Transfer RNA (tRNA) molecules are approximately 80 nucleotides in length. Their secondary structure includes four short double-helical elements and three loops (D, anti-codon, and T loops). Further hydrogen bonds mediate the characteristic L-shaped molecular structure. tRNAs have two regions of fundamental functional importance: the anti-codon, which is responsible for specific mRNA codon recognition, and the 3' end, to which the tRNAs corresponding amino acid is attached (by aminoacyl-tRNA synthetases). tRNAs cope with the degeneracy of the genetic code in two manners: having more than one tRNA (with a specific anti-codon) for a particular amino acid; and 'wobble' base-pairing, i.e. permitting non-standard base-pairing at the 3rd anti-codon position.
Source: RNAcentral
GUGGGCGUGGCGGAAUUGGUAGACGCCGGGGACUUAAAAUCCCCUGAGCUUUGCUCGUGCGGGUUCGAGUCCCGCCGCCCGCACCA